AAAUUGAAGAGUUUGAUCAUGGCUCAGAUUGAACGCUGGCGGCAGGCCUAACACAUGCAAGUCGAACGGUAACAGAAAGAAGCUUGCUUCUUUGCUGACGAGUGGCGGACGGGUGAGUAAUGUCUGGGAAACUGCCUGAUGGAGGGGGAUAACUACUGGAAACGGUAGCUAAUACCGCAUAACGUCGCAAGACCAAAGAGGGGGACCUUCGGGCCUCUUGCCAUCGGAUGUGCCCAGAUGGGAUUAGCUUGUUGGUGGGGUAACGGCUCACCAAGGCGACGAUCCCUAGCUGGUCUGAGAGGAUGACCAGCCACACUGGAACUGAGACACGGUCCAGACUCCUACGGGAGGCAGCAGUGGGGAAUAUUGCACAAUGGGCGCAAGCCUGAUGCAGCCAUGCCGCGUGUAUGAAGAAGGCCUUCGGGUUGUAAAGUACUUUCAGCGGGGAGGAAGGGAGUAAAGUUAAUACCUUU
Molecule: ribosomal RNA, 473 nt
Filed under: Escherichia coli
Lineage: Bacteria; Pseudomonadati; Pseudomonadota; Gammaproteobacteria; Enterobacterales; Enterobacteriaceae
Description: bacterial SSU rRNA
Rfam family: Bacterial small subunit ribosomal RNA
Source: RNAcentral